Molecule: transfer RNA, 74 nt
Filed under: Candidatus Omnitrophota bacterium
Lineage: Bacteria; Pseudomonadati; Candidatus Omnitrophota
Description: Candidatus Omnitrophica bacterium tRNA-Val
Rfam family: tRNA
About the family: Transfer RNA (tRNA) molecules are approximately 80 nucleotides in length. Their secondary structure includes four short double-helical elements and three loops (D, anti-codon, and T loops).
Source: RNAcentral
GGGCGGUUAGCUCAGUUGGAUAGAGUACUACCUUGACAUGGUAGGGGUCACAGGUUCAAAUCCUGUACCGCCCA